GUACUUCUUACAAUUGCGAUGGGGGGACGGAGAAGGCUAGGUGGGCCUGGCGACGGUUGUCCAGGUUCAAGUACGUAGGCGGGUGGUUUAGGUAAAUCCGGACCGCUACUAACGCUGAGAUACGAUGUCGAGCUACUACGGUAGUGAAGUCAUUGAUGCCAUGCUUCCAGGAAAAGCCUCUAAGCUUCAGAUUGUAAGGAAUCGUACCCCAAACCGACACAGGUGGUCGGGUAGAGAAUACCAAGGCGCUUGAGAGAACUCGGGUGAAGGAACUAGGCAAAAUGGUACCGUAACUUCGGGAGAAGGUACGCUCUUAUCAGUGAAGUCCCUUGCGGAUGGAGCAGACGAGAGUCGCAGAUACCAGGUGGCUGCAACUGUUUAUUAAAAACACAGCACUGUGCAAAAUCGUAAGAUGACGUAUACGGUGUGACGCCUGCCCGGUGCCGGAAGGUUAAUUGAUGGGGUUAGACUUCGGUCGAAGCUCUUGAUCGAAGCCCCGGUAAACGGCGGCCGUAACUAUAACGGUCCUAAGGUAGCGAAAUUCCUUGUCGGGUAAGUUCCGACCUGCACGAAUGGCGUAAUGAUGGCCACGCUGUCUCCACCCGAGACUCAGUGAAAUUGAAAUCGCUGUGAAGAUGCAGUGUACCCGCGGCUAGACGGAAAGACCCCGUGAACCUUUACUACAGCUUGGCACUGAACAUUGAACCUACAUGUGUAGGAUAGGUGGGAGACUUUGAAACCGCGUCGCUAGAUGUGGUGGAGUCGUCCUUGAAAUACCACCCUUGUAGUUUUGAUGUUCUAACGUUGGUCCCUGAAUCGGGAUUACGGACAGUGCCUGGUGGGUAGUUUGACUGGGGCGGUCUCCUCCCAAAGAGUAACGGAGGAGCACGAAGGUGGGCUAAACACGGUUGGACAUCGUGUGGUUAGUGCAAUGGCAUAAGCCCGCUUGACUGCGAGAAUGACAAUUCGAGCAGGUGCGAAAGCAGGUCAUAGUGAUCCGGUGGUUCUGAAUGGAAGGGCCAUCGCUCAACGGAUAAAAGGUACUCCGGGGAUAACAGGCUGAUACCGCCCAAGAGUUCAUAUCGACGGCGGUGUUUGGCACCUCGAUGUCGGCUCAUCACAUCCUGGGGCUGAAGUCGGUCCCAAGGGUAUGGCUGUUCGCCAUUUAAAGUGGUACGCGAGCUGGGUUUAGAACGUCGUGAGACAGUUCGGUCCCUAUCUGCCGUGGGCGUUGGAAAAUUGAAAGGGGCUGCUCCUAGUACGAGAGGACCGGAGUGGACGAACCUCUGGUGUUCGGGUUGUCAUGCCAAUGGCAUUGCCCGGUAGCUAAGUUCGGAAUCGAUAACCGCUGAAAGCAUCUAAGCGGGAAGCGAGCCUUGAGAUGAGUUUUCCCUGGCGCUAUAAGCGUCCUAAAGGGUUGUCGUAGACUACGACGUUGAUAGGCAGGGUGUGUAAGUGCUGCGAGGCAUUGAGCUAACCUGUACUAAUUGCCCGUGAGGCUUAACCA
Molecule: ribosomal RNA, 1507 nt
Filed under: Vibrio crassostreae
Lineage: Bacteria; Pseudomonadati; Pseudomonadota; Gammaproteobacteria; Vibrionales; Vibrionaceae
Description: bacterial LSU rRNA
Rfam family: Bacterial large subunit ribosomal RNA
Source: RNAcentral